This 250-nucleotide ribosomal RNA is filed under the name uncultured bacterium. Its description in RNAcentral is "partial 16S ribosomal RNA". It matches the Rfam family "Bacterial small subunit ribosomal RNA", at positions 524 to 773 of the family's 1533-position model. The record is from RNAcentral.
UACGGAGGAUGCAAGCGUUAUCCGGAUUCAUUGGGUUUAAAGGGUGCGUAGGCUGGCCAAUAAGUCAGAGGUGAAAAGCAUAGGCUUAACUUAUGCACUGCCUUUGAUACUGAUUACCUUGAGUUUAGAUGAUGUGGGCGGAAUGUGUCAUGUAGCGGUGAAAUGCAUAGAUAUGCUACAGAACACCGAUAGCGAAGGCAGCUCACUAAGUUAUAACUGACGCUCAUGCACGAAAGCGUGGGGAUAAAAC